Molecule: transfer RNA, 88 nt
Filed under: Lentisphaeria bacterium
Lineage: Bacteria; Pseudomonadati; Lentisphaerota; Lentisphaeria
Description: tRNA-Cys
Rfam family: tRNA
About the family: Transfer RNA (tRNA) molecules are approximately 80 nucleotides in length. Their secondary structure includes four short double-helical elements and three loops (D, anti-codon, and T loops).
Source: RNAcentral
CUCGUGAUGGCUGAGUGGUCGAAGGCGGCAGACUGCAAAUCUGUUUGGAGAAAUCCGCACACCGGUUCAAAUCCGGUUCACGAGUCCA